UUUCCUUUGUUUCUCAAUAUAUUUCUUUGACUUGUAUCAUCCUUUAUACUUCCUUUUUGAACUAAUAUAUAGGUCUAGUUAUCUCUUAUAGCGAUACCAGUCCUCUGAUACCAGAUUUUGGAUCCAAAAUGCAGAUUUAUUUAUAGAGAGUUGCCAUCCCAAGUAGCUCAAUCGUGGAGGAUGGAGAUGGGUGGAAUACUUAAAGGCAAUCCAGUUCCAGUUUAAUAGAUGCAAUGCUUUUAGGCCUACUUGAGCUAUGCGAGAUGUAAAUGGAUAAGCCAUUUCGGGCAAUUCAAUGGAAGAACCAAAGAGAUAUGUUUGCAGUGGACAAGUUGUUGAAUCUGCCAAGUCUUCUGCAUCUGUCUCAUCAUGCUGCUUGUUGCUAAAGGAUUAGUUUUAUUCCAAGACUUCUUCCUUCCCUGCACUACAUCUUGGUUGAUGAACGAAGAGUCUUGUGCUGUAGCUUUUCUGCUGAUUAUGGUUUUGAUUCAUAACUAAAAGAAUUCAUGGUUUAAGACAAAAAGUGCUGAAGCACACUAGCCGAGCAAAAGUUGUUGCAAUGACAGGAAUGUAGCUUUUGAC
Long non-coding RNA from Coffea eugenioides, 582 nucleotides. RefSeq lists it as uncharacterized. The transcript is spliced from 4 exons. The record is from RefSeq and is a predicted model, not a curated record. NCBI's taxonomy places the organism in Eukaryota, Viridiplantae, Streptophyta, Magnoliopsida, Gentianales, Rubiaceae.